AGACUGCUGAUGGUUUUGUUAAUGCUUAACAGUUGUCCCUGAAAACUGCUGUUGAAGUUUAAUUUUCCCACUCUGUACGUAAGACAUAAUUAGAUCCCAAUUUUAGCUGAUGCGUGCUUUUCUUCUUAUUUUAUUUUUUUUUAAUUAUCUCAUAAUGGCCUUUGAUUAAUAUAUAGUGCUUUUCUUCAUAACAAAAUGGAUCUUUGCACCAUCAACAUUUAGGCCUGGGGGAAGCGGAGAGUAGCUAAAUGACGAACUAUUCUGGCGUAAGUUUCUUUCUUAUAGGACCUAUUGAAAUUUUAAUUUUUCAUAAAAAAAUAGUACAUAAAAUUUCGUAGUUAAAUUAUUUCUUAAAUCUUAAAGCUUCAGUAAUGAAUUUGACGGUGACAUUUUUCAAUCACAUUCAAGAAGGGCAAGCAUGGAUAAGCUAAGAAUUUCCUUCUAUGUCAAUUAAAAAAAAAACUAAAAUAGAAUACUGUUCAAGAAUCACUCAAAGAAGAAAGAAGUUUCAGUGAAAAGAAAUCACAAAAUAAAAAUUAAUAAUUAACAAAUAUGAUGAAACAAAUCAAGUGUCGAUUUUACCACCUUGUGGAUUUCUGCCCCAAGAAAAUUGAAACCUGGAUGGCAUAUUGAACAAAUGGCACCAAUCUGUUGCAAUUAUCUUCUUGCUGUCAGAGUAGUUCAUGUCAAAAUCACCAUUCCUCUUGUAUUCUGAUUUCAGUUGGGGGUAUAAUUGAGUAUUGAAAGUGCUUCAAUUCCUGUCUUCAUUUUUUUUUUUUAAAUACAAAAUCUCUAACAUGCGCAACCGCCUCCUUGCUGCUCAUUCUGGGAUGAAUUGACAGUAGGCUUGAGGUUCACAUCAACCAUGUCUUCUUGUUUCGUUGAAGAAAGCGUUUCCAUCCCCGGUAAGGCAGAAGCAAUUUUCCGGAAUAAAGGCUGCAAUUCAUAUUCUCAAAUCAAGCUCAAAGCCAUACAAAGUGAACAACAGAAACAAAGACAAGCGAAAACGCCAUAGCUACAUCAUCAGGUGAACGGAUAUCGUAUUAACUAUUAUUGCCUACGAUAUAAAUUCCUCUAAAAGAUCAGAGCAACUUAAUCACAUUAUUAGCUUGGAAAAUACAUUUUACCUUAAUAUUGAACCCUGCUUUUGCGCUGGUUUCUAUAAACAUUACUCCAAACUCUUUUGCCUUGUUAUCUCCUUCCUCUAUGGAAACUUGCCUGUUAAAUCAAUAAACAAACAUAGUCGAUGAUUUCAAACUACAGCCAGAAUUUAUUAAUAGAUGAACCACUUACGCUUGAAAAGAAAGCACAUGAAGAUUGGAGAAAGAAAAACAACAAUAUUGGAAAGCAAAUUAGUGUCCUAAUAUUUGAAGAAUUCCUAGUCAUCCAUCUCUCCUUAGAUCAGAGUUUAUAAAUAUAGAACAGAAGUAAACCCAAGAAGCAGAGGAAAGUAGAAUUGUUAUUACUUAGUUUUCUUUAUCAUACACAAAUGGGACUCUUCAGAAAGCAUGAUUCAUCAUCUUAUUUUCAUCAGUUAAUUUCUUACCUUUUCUCAACAAGAUCAGUUUUGUUCCCAACAAGGACAAUAAUGACAUCACUGCCUCGUUCUGUUCGUACCUCCUCAAUCCACUUAGAAGUGUUCAAAAAUGAUUGCCUAUUGGCCACAUCAAAGACAAUUACAGCAACAGAAGAAUCUCUAAUGUAGCUUGGAAUAAGACUUCUAAAUCUUUCUUGACCAGCAGUAUCCCAGAGCUGCAGGCGAACUGUUCGAUCUUCAAGGUACAUUGUCUUUGAUAAAAAAUCAAUACCAAUCGUAGCCUGAUAAGUGGUGUCAAAUUUAUCGUACAUAAAACGAGUAAUUAUACUGGUUUUGCCCACAGAUUGAUCUCCCAAAAACACCAGCUUAUACUUUGCUAAUGACGAUACCACCGACAUUGGAACCAAAAUUCUAUUGAAUUACCCUUUCUUUUUCUUUCUUCUUCAAAAUACAAUUUCUCUCUCUCAGAUCUGAAUGGGUGGAAAGAGAAAAUUAAGGAAGAUAAAACACUUCUCUGCCUCUCUUCGAAUUCUCUCUAUAUAUAUAAUACCACUAACCGCCAACUCCAUCAAAGCUCCACAUUUCCCCUUCCUCAAUAAAUUAAAAAUAAUAAGGAAAAUUACACUAGUUAAAUAACAAAAGUCACUUUAUUUUUCUUCUCUUUUAACAUUCCCAUACAUAACUUCACCAUGCAUUACAAUGUUCGUGGUAUACAAUGUAUCCACUGCAAAUGGUAUUGUUGAAACAUAAUUCAACUAUUUCAAGAUACAUAACCAUAAAUUAAAAUCAUAUAAAUUUAGGUUCAAAAUAAUUGAAUUAUCUAUCAACAAUAAAAUUUGC
Molecule: unclassified non-coding RNA, 2377 nt
Filed under: Hevea brasiliensis (rubber tree)
Lineage: Eukaryota; Viridiplantae; Streptophyta; Magnoliopsida; Malpighiales; Euphorbiaceae
Source: RNAcentral